RNAcentral lists this ribosomal RNA (479 nucleotides) under uncultured bacterium. RNAcentral describes it as "partial 16S ribosomal RNA". It matches the Rfam family "Bacterial small subunit ribosomal RNA", at positions 28 to 507 of the family's 1533-position model. The record is from RNAcentral.
GAUGAACGCUAGCGGGAGGCCUAACACAUGCAAGCCGAGCGGUAUGGAUAGCUUGCUAUCCAGAGAGCGGCGUACGGGUGCGUAACACGUGUGCAACCUACCUUUAUCUGGGGGAUAGCCUUUCGAAAGGAAGAUUAAUACCCCAUAAUAUAAUGAUUGGCAUCAAUUAUUAUUGAAAACUCCGGUGGAUAGAGAUGGGCACGCGCAAGAUUAGAUAGUUGGUGAGGUAACGGCUCACCAAGUCAAUGAUCUUUAGGGGUCCUGAGAGGGAGAUCCCCCACACUGGUACUGAGACACGGACCAGACUCCUACGGGAGGCAGCAGUGAGGAAUAUUGAACAAUGGGUGAGAGCCUGAUCCAGCCAUCCCGCGUGAAGGAUGACGGUCCUAUGGAUUGUAAACUUCUUUUGUACAGGGAUAAACCUACCCUCGUGAGGGUAGCUGAAGGUACUGUACGAAUAAGCACCGGCUAACUCCGUG